This 253-nucleotide ribosomal RNA is filed under the name uncultured bacterium. Its description in RNAcentral is "partial 16S ribosomal RNA". It matches the Rfam family "Bacterial small subunit ribosomal RNA", at positions 524 to 776 of the family's 1533-position model. The record is from RNAcentral.
GACGUAGGGAGCGAGCGUUGUCCGGAAUUACUGGGCGUAAAGAGCUCGUAGGCGGGACCGUAAGUCCGAGAGGAAAUCUCAAGGCUCAACUUUGGGGCUUUCUUGGAUACUGCGGUUCUUGAGGAUGAGAGAGGUAAGUAGAAUUCCCGGUGUAGCGGUGAAAUGCGUAGAUAUCGGGAGGAAUACCAGUGGCGAAGGCGGCUUACUGGCUCAUUCCUGACGCUGAGGAGCGAAAGCGUGGGGAGCAAACGGG